CCCCGCCUAGCUCAAUCGGAUAGAGCGUCAGACUUUUAAGAGGUCCGUAAGGGCGGUAUUUGAGAUCUGAAGGCUGCGAGUUCGACCCUCGCGGUGGGCU
Molecule: non-coding RNA, 100 nt
Organism: Mycena amicta
Lineage: Eukaryota; Fungi; Basidiomycota; Agaricomycetes; Agaricales; Mycenaceae
Source: the annotation of a GenBank genome assembly